RNAcentral lists this transfer RNA (80 nucleotides) under Streptomyces griseocarneus. RNAcentral describes it as "tRNA-Val". Lineage: Bacteria; Bacillati; Actinomycetota; Actinomycetes; Kitasatosporales; Streptomycetaceae. The record is from RNAcentral.
GCACGCCCCGCCGGCCCGGUGCGGCCCUCGCCGUCGACGCCGGCGGCACGGCGGCCGGUUCCGUCUCCGGCGGAUGCGUG